UCUGCAGAAAAAAGUCCAAAACCCUUAUCAAAGCUCUAAAAUUUCUGAGCUUGUUGAGAUUUCACAUUGGAUCUCAACAAGUUUGAGCUAAAAACCACUACACGGAACGGACCAAUGAUAACCAUACAUACAAGAAGAACACGAAGGAAGGAAAAAGAAUAGAGAAAUACCUGAAGCAGAUCAAACCUCCUUGUUGUCGUACUUGAUAUCGAGAAAGAUCCUACAAAGGGCAAUUCAAGGGGCACUUGAUUGAUGGUGCUGACACAUAUCAAGACCAUCUUGUGAAUCAGGGGCAUGGCAUCUUUUGAUCAUAUUGACCUAAGACGUAGUCUGUGUAAGACAAAUCUCCAAGCAUCGGUUGAUCAGGGAAAAAAACACUUCAAUACUCAGUCCGUCUGGGGCAAGUCCCUCAAAGGCUAAUCAGGGGCAGACCAUUGCAAGAUUCAGGAGUUGGGAAAAAUAAACUCAGGCCAUGUCAUGGGAUAAUCACUCCUAAGGUUACCUUUCAAGGAAAAUUCCUUUGAACACCCUACAGUCAGGGGCAAGACAAGUUGCAAGGGGCAAAAUUCCCUUCAUAUCUUCAAGUCAGUCAAGCAGAUUGCAUCAAGACAUUAGCGACUACUUGAAUUCACAACAAAAACGUCGAAAGUUCCUACCAGUACAACAUCAUACCUUGACAAGAAUCCUUAGAGCACGUCAAAAGCACAAUCAUCAUGCGUUAAUCACGUCGCUAUGCUCAGUUACAGGCUGGCCAGGCAUCUUAGAAGAAGAAUCGAGAUCUUCUCGAAGACAAAUACAUAAUAUAUCAGCAAGAGAUCAAACUUGGGGCACCAAGAGUAUCCGCAUCUAUUGCGUGUUCAUCACAUCAUCAGCUACCGAGUGUCGGGAAGUCAGAUCAUGUCACCAAUCAACAGUCCAAUCCACAUUGACAAUUACCAAAAAAACCAAAGCCCGCCUUGGUGGCACCUACACAAAACAAAAAUAACCAACAUUGGUUUCCAAAAAUACAUCACCUUUAAAAGGGGGGCCAAUCCCAAACAAACCAAUCAUUCUUUGCAUUUAAACAUGCAUCACAUACAUCACCUCAUACAUAACGCAUACAUAUCAUUCAUGUACAUAACACGAAUCAAAACCCAAGGUUUAGUCAUAGGCAUCCAGGCCAAUCCUCAAUUGAGUCAUUGUCACUUUCUCUGAGUGAGUUCCUACCCUAUUGGGCGUUCCCCAUUGAGUUAUAUCCUUUAAUCUUUGGUUAAUAAGAUGUCAUCCUCAGCUAAGUCAAGCAAUGUUUCUUUAAACACUUACCUUGUUUCACAUUGAGCGUCCCUCAAUGAGUCGUUUCCUGUAACCUUUUGUUGACAGACACUACAUCUCCCCAGAGAAUAUUGGCUUUGCAACCUUUUGUUGACAGAAACUACAUCUCCCCAGAGAAUAUUGGCUUUGCAACCUUUUGUUGUCAAUACCCCGAGCAAGUCUCAUCCAGCAAUGUUCCAAUGCUACCUAACAAAUCAGGUUUACUGAACUUUGUCGGUAGCUUUGUUUUUCCAAUAUUUUUCUCACUAUCAUCCUUUUGGUGGAAGCCCAAUGAGGAAUAAUAUUGAUCAUCACCCUGUUUACGAUCACCGUUAUCCUUUUGGUAAUGGUAAAUCCUUGAUAUUUGCGAUCUUACUGUCAUCCUUUUGGUGUCGAAGAUCCUUGAAGUUUUGGUCCAACCUUCAUCCUUUUGGUGAAUGGUGACCUCUACAAUUAUUACAGCCUACCGUCAUCCUUUUGGUGUCGGCGAUCCUUAUGGUGAUAAGCAAUCCUUGUCAUUUUGGUUCAACCAUCAUCCUUUUGGUGAUGACGUCCAGUUCAAUCCAAUAUCAUCCUUUUGGUGAUAGGGACUAUGGAGUUCAGUUUAAGCUAUCAUCCUUUUGGUGAUGGUGACAUUUGGAAAGUCCAUUCCCACUGUCAUCCUUUUGGUGUCAGCAAUAUUUGAAGUUAUUAUAACUUAUUAUCAUCCUUUUGGUGGUAACAUGUUUUGAAGUUAUGAUCUCACCUUUAUCCUUUUGGUGAUGGUGAUUGUGGAUUCAUUAUCAUCCUUUUGGUGAUAACGAUUUCUGUUGUGUUGUAGUGCCUUCAUCCUUUUGGUGAUGGUGACUAUCGACUUAUUAUCAUCCUUUUGGUGGUAACAAGUUGUGUCUUUUGACAAUACCUUCAUCCUUUUGGUGAUGGUGAUUGUUGACUUAUUAUCAUCAUUUUGGUGAUAACAAGUUUGUGUCUUGAUCCUACCUUCAUCCUUUUGGUGAUGGUGAUCAAUUGCGUGUGUGCUUCUUAUCAUCCUUUUGGUGGUAACAAGUUUUGUCGUUUGACAAUACCUUCAUCCUUUUGGUGAUGGUGAUUGUUGACUUCUUAUCAUCCUUUUGGUGAUAACAAGUUUGUGUCUUGAUCAUACCUUCAUCCUUUUGGUGAUGGUGAUCAAUUGCGUGUGUGCUUAUUAUCAUCCUUUUGGUGGUAACUAAGUUUUGUCGUUUGACAAUACCUUCAUCCUUUUGGUGAUGGUGAUUGUUGACUUCUUAUCAUCCUUUUGGUGAUAACAAGUUUGUGUCUUGAUCCUACCUUCAUCCUUUUGGUGAUGGUGAUCAAUUGCGUGUGUGCUUAUUAUCAUCCUUUUGGUGAUAACUAAGUUUUGUCGUUUGACAACACCUUCAUCCUUUUGGUGAUGGUGAUUGUUGACUUCUUAUCAUCCUUUUGGUGAUAACAAGUUUGUGUCUUGAUCCUACCUUCAUCCUUUUAGUGAUGGUGAUCAGUUGCGUGAGUGCUUAUUAUCAUCCUUUUGGUGGUAACUAAGUUUUGUCGUUUGACAGUACCUUCAUCCUUUUGGUGAUGGUGAUUAUCAUCCUUUUGGUGAUAACAAAUUUGUCUUGAUCUUACCUUCAUCCUUUUGGUGACGGUGAUCAAUUGCGUUGUGUGCUUAUUAUCAUCCUUUUGGUGGUAACAAGUUUUAUCUUUUAAUUAUACCUUCAUCCUUUUGGUGAUGGUGAUUAUCAUCCUUUUGGUGAUAACAAGUUUGUCUUGAUCUUACCUUCAUCCUUUUGGUGACGAUGAUCGAUUGUGUGUUGAUUUAUUAUCAUCCUUUUGGUGAUAACAAGUUUGUUGUGUGACUAUACCUUCAUCCUUUUGGUGAAUGGUGAUCAUUGAAGUUGUUUGACUUAUUAUCAUCCUUUUGGUGAUAACAAGUUUUGAUUGUUGGAUAUUACCUUCAUCCUUUUGGUGACGGUGAUCUUUGAAGUUGAUGAAUUAACUAUCAUCCUUUUGGUGAUAGUCUUGAUACUAUACUCUCAGUAAUGGGAAUCUUUGGAUUGUGUCUAGCUUUCAUCCUUUAGGUGAUAGCGAGAUUUGUUGUUAAUCUUACCAUCAUCCUUUUGGUGAUGGCGAUCUUUGUUGUAGCCACUGUAACCAUCAUCCUUUUGGUGAUGACUACCUUUGAAACUCAACUUAUCCAUCAUCCUUUUGGUGAUGACAAUCCUCAAAAUCAUGGUGAAUCUCUGUCAUCCUUUUGGUGUCAGAAAACCGAUCCCAAUUUUGUCUUUACAUCAGAAACGACCUUUACAAGGUUUGAAUGUUGACUCGAGGGUUGACAUUGAUCGGACAUCCUACCCCAAUACCUUGGUGCCGUUAGAAUCCAUUGCAUUUCAUUUCAAAGGACAAAUUUGGGUCUUUUUAUAUUUAAUUACCUUCCACCACGAAUGUACGAAGACUGUCGUCAUUCUUACCCUCUGGUUCAAGUUAAUUAAAUAGGGGCAACUGUCAUACCCCAAUUUUGUCCGGGCAUAUUUAAAUUUCGAUAAAAAAAUCAAUUUCAUUUUUUUUACAUCAUAUGCAUAGCAUAACAUGCAUUCCAUCAUAAAUAAUGCAUAAAAACAUGCAUUUCAAUAAAAUCAAUUUCGUCUAGGAGUAUGGUUUAUUGCACAAAUACAAGGAAAAGGGAUAUCUUCUUGAGGUGGAAUGCUAGUAUGGAUCAAGGUCAGGUUUGAGUUUCGUCUUGCCAACACCAUAAUGCUAAAUCCUUAAGCAAAGUCAUGAACAUGGUUUAUUACAGACAGCAAUCGCUGACAUGCCAAAGUAGUCCAUAACCUUUAAUGAGAUCACGGUUGGUUUGAGAACAUUGCUUAUUUUGUUUUUUGCACCUUACUGAACCAAGUUGGCAAGAGUUGACAAGAUAUUAAAUGAAUGACUUAAAUUCACGAUUUUUGUUCUUCAUUUGUAAUCAUCAUUUAGGCCACAGAUUAAGAGGUCUUUAGGAUAAAGACCAAGUGUUCAGACGUGUGUCAAAUGGCCAAGAAUCCCAAAAUACAAUAUGGCAUGGUUUAAAAAUAUCAAUGUAGAAUUACAUUAGCUGAACAAAUUUUGGAUUUUUACAAACAUAAUUGUUUCAAUUGCCAUUAAUGGAAAUACAUCAUUGUUUUCGAUUACAAGCAAUCCUAGGUUCUGAAUAAUAUUACAGCCAAGCCAAAUGGAAGAAAUAAUUUUCUAAAAAAAUCAAGAAUACACAUCAUCCUGUCAUGACAGUCGCCCAUGCCCUUCCCUGCAUUAUGCUUCCAUAAACCGUUUAGGAACCGCAGGGGUAUCCUCCAGCACCAUACUCUGACCGGCAAAUGAAUACAUGGUUUGUUUCUGUUGUCGCCACUUGCUAUAAGUAUAGUACCUGCUGCAAGCCAAAUCCAAACGUGUAUAACAUAAACCCAAAACUGCAACCUGCAAAGACCGCAGAAGCUCCACAUUAAUACAAACAGCAAGCGAAGGCAUAAGUUUACAAUUUGUAUUCUUAAACUUCACGGUUCACAGAAGUCCUAGCCUAUGAUCUGAAGACAUGUUGGCAAUACAAGAGAAUAUUAUUCAAGCAGUGAAAUAGCAUGGCAGCUGAGCAAUACAAAGCACUCUCUUCAUCAAGUAAUUCCAAGAAUUCGCGAGACACGUCCUGAUAAGCAUACCGCAAACUGCAAUCCAGAUGCCGAUUACAUAAUAUACCAGCUAGAGUGAGUAAGGUUAGCCGAAGCCAAAAGGCCAGUAUUAUCGUGGGAUUUCAUGUUGUUGCAAGAGGGGAAACAAUACCAGGCAGUGUUCUGAACUUAAGACCAUAACCAGGUUGCGCAAAACCGUGGAACAUAACUUAGCAUGCCACCAUUUCCAGUCAUUCAUCACGAGAAAAUUACAUUAAUCAUGAGGACGGUAUAUUCGGCAAAACAGUGAAUUCUACAUUACAGUCUGGAAAUGCAUAACGUGAAUUAAAGACAUGAAUAUGCCACUUAAACCAGGGCCUAUUCCUUUACAAACUUGCUGCAGAUUCAGUACACAAACCAAGACAAAAGGCACAUAAUAAAACCUGUUACUACAGUUUCUGCAGAAUUGACUAGGAGGUCUCAACAAGGACUGAGAUUGUUGGCUAGCCGUCAAUGACAAGGACCGAGCUUGUGAAUCAACUGCAGGUGUACAUAGAAGAAAGCCAAUAAAAACUGCCAAUGCACAUAGUUCGUCAUGAUUAAAAUGGUGUAAGGAAAUGCUAUCACGGGACUGUGAUGAGAGUUAACCAUACCAUUUGUGUGUAAACCAGGAUUAGCUAUCAGGGAGCUAGACGUGUCAGUAGGCCCGCUGCAGCCUGCAUACCAUAAAUGAGCCAAGGAACAUACAGGACACAAGUUUUGCAAUACCUGAAUGGUAAAACAACAGUUUGAUCAGAAGUAAAAUCAUGAAUAAGUAAGAGCAAGGUUAUAAUAAUAAGCAUAUUGUACAGGAUUCCAUGCAGGAUAAAUAGAUCAAAAUCAUUAUUUAUACCAAGCUCAAAUGUCAAUGGCACAUUGAAGCAGGUCGCAAGAAAUCGUAAGCAGAAGUUGGUCCUUAAUUCCCAAGCGUCAAAUUCUGAACUUACAAGAAAAGAAUAAAUUAUGAUCCAGGUGUGCAGAGAGUGAAAAAAAGAAAAUCAGAAGGGCCAUAGUUGAUCCAUCUUACUCUGUUUAAAGGAAACCGGUUCACUGGUAGCAAAACAAGCGGUAAUCAAGUAAAGACAUCGUUGUCGUGCGAACAGGAAUAACCAAAGGCAAGGAACAAUUCCAUAAACCUGCCAAGACAGAGUUACAGGUCAGAAGGCAAACCACCAUCAAAAUUCAUAGUGAAUGAAGGUAUGAGAAAUAAUCAAAAACCUGGGCUGAACCUUGACAGAAGCCUUGCCGAACCAACAAAUCCACAACAGACCGGCAUGGACUGCGUAACAGCUUAAAUGCGAGUGCAAUAGCAUCACGUUACCUGCAUAAACCAAGAGAAGCUUAAAUUUCUGGAAGUUAUGAGGAAACGCCCUGUCAUAUCAGUUGAAAAAAAGGCCACGUUGGCAAAACAAGGAAUAGUUAAGUGUUUUGAGGAUGAAAUUACAUAACAGUAAAAAUCAAAUUUUCUUACCACAGGAAGCAUGUAUUUUACUGCAUCGAAGAGAUUUCACUACCAACAAACUCUUCCGCUAAUGCUUAUCACUUUGGGACCACUUCUGUUUGGAGGGACCACGCAUCAUAGAGGGAUUCCACUACCAACAAACUCGCCUUACCACAAUCAUUUUUGUCCCCCACUAAGUCUGAGAUAUUCUAAUAGAAUGAUUCUUGGGAUCCUCCGCCAGCUCACAAUGAAUACAUUAUUGGGGACCUUGGAUUUCCUCUAUAAAUAAGGAGUCUCUAAUCAUUGAAAGGGGAAAAAAAAUUUGCACCGGUACUCUGCAGAAAAAAGUCCAAAACCCUUAUCAAAGCUCUAAAAUUUCUGAGCUUGUUGAGAUUUCACAUUGGAUCUCAACAAGUUUGAGCUAAAAACCACUACACGGAACGGACCAAUGAUAACCAUACAUACAAGAAGAACACGAAGGAAGGAAAAAGAAUAGAGAAAUACCUGAAGCAGAUCAAACCUCCUUGUUGUCGGUAACGAGCAGUGAUUGAGUAGAAGCUAGUGCUUGGAGUCUAGUGUAGUUCCUUAGUGGGUCAUGCUCUUGUAUAUGUAAUAUCGGGACGGGAUGUUUACCUUGUUUUCACUUGGUUGUUGAAUAAUUUUACAUGUAAUGUGUUACAUGGUUUGCAUGUUGUUAGAUUUUAUCCGCUGCGAACUGUGCAAUGUUUUACUUUGAUUAAUAAAUGAGCAUGACAAGCUAUUUUGGUGAA
This is an RNA transcript of Lathyrus oleraceus (garden pea), 7169 nucleotides long. RefSeq lists it as uncharacterized. The transcript is spliced from 3 exons. The record is from RefSeq and is a predicted model, not a curated record. NCBI's taxonomy places the organism in Eukaryota, Viridiplantae, Streptophyta, Magnoliopsida, Fabales, Fabaceae.